Molecule: small nuclear RNA, 186 nt
Organism: Lepus europaeus (European hare)
Lineage: Eukaryota; Metazoa; Chordata; Mammalia; Lagomorpha; Leporidae
Product: U2 spliceosomal RNA
Exons: 1
Source: RefSeq, a predicted model, not a curated record
AUUGCUUCUCGGCCUUUUGGCUAAGAUCAAGUGUAUAGACAGUUAGGGGUGUAUCACCUGAAAAUACUAAUUUUCUUUUUUUUUUCUUUAUUUUUUUUUAACUUUUUUUUUUUUUUGACAGGCAGAGUGGACAGUGAGAGAGAGAGACAGAGAGAAAGGUCUUCCUUUGCCGUUGGUUCACCCUCC